RNAcentral lists this long non-coding RNA (429 nucleotides) under Daphnia pulicaria. RNAcentral describes it as "uncharacterized LOC124320606, transcript variant X2". Lineage: Eukaryota; Metazoa; Arthropoda; Branchiopoda; Diplostraca; Daphniidae. The record is from RNAcentral.
GAUGGUUUCUGUUUUAAAAUUUUUUUAUUCUUAUCUGUUUCUAGGAAUAUGGAACCAAAUAGUUAGGGAUUUGAAAUGUGUUUGUGAAUUUGAAUAAAAGUGUUGGGAUUGAAAGAAUGAGUCGCGAAAACCGCAAGGAUAAACCGACUGCCAGAUUUUGUUUGCAAACCAGAUUUCAGGCCUGAACCAGUCAUCAUUACAACACGAUAUGCAAGUUUUGCUUCUGCUGUCAUUGAUCUACCAUCAGCAACAUACUCAGUCAUCGCUUGGAUAAACAGCAUCCAGACAUCCAGCUUGAUUAGAAAAACUCAGUCCUUGUGUACACCCAUGUGAGUGUGGGGGUAUUCACGAGGACGCCCUUUUUCCGUCAUUCAACUUUUCUGCAGGAUGGAGCACUUAUGGAUGCCUGACUGUUUUUUCCCAGGCAUA